Molecule: long non-coding RNA, 4222 nt
Filed under: Sus scrofa (pig)
Lineage: Eukaryota; Metazoa; Chordata; Mammalia; Artiodactyla; Suidae
Description: lncRNA (ENSSSCG00000057699.1)
Source: RNAcentral
UUCAUCUUGUCUUAUGACUGUUAUUUUAUCUCUGUUUCAUAUCACCUCAAACUUGGAAAUUGGCUACUUUCCCCUGGUUCCUACAAAGCAACCACUUGCAUGAGGCCAGUGUGCACAGAGCAGUCUUUAAAUAGUUAGAGAAGUAGGGAGUAGACAACCAUGCAAUAAAGGUUGAAUAUCCACACUCUCCCAAGUCACAGUCAUUCCCAGCAGCUCGGGCUCCAGCUUCUUGCUACGUUUUGGACCCUUUCCUACCCACCAUCAAAUUCUACCUAAGGAUCCAUCUUUCAAAGUAGUUUAAAGGAGGAUUCCCAUUGUGGCUCAGCGGUAACAAACCCGACUAGUAUCCAUGAGGACAUAGGUUCGAUCCCUGGCUUUGUUCAGUGGGUUAAGGAUCCAGCAUUGCUAUGAGCUGUGGUGUAGAUCUCAGAUGUGGCUCAGAUCUAGUGUUGUUGUGGCUGUAGUGUAGACUGGCAGCUAAAGCUCUGAUUGGACCCCUAGCCUGGGAACUUCCACAUGCUGCAGGUGUGGCCCUAGAAAGAUCAAAAAAAAAAAAAGUGUAGAUGAAGGAAACUUAGAAAUCAUGCAUUCCUCAAGCUCUUCUUCAUGGAACCCUAUACAUUUCAUUUGCUUCUGUAUCCUCCCUUUAUCAUACUGUCCUAUAAUUCCUUUUCAUUACCAUUUUGCUGCCCCACCAGGCUUUAGAUGCUUUUUGAGGGCUGAGUCAUUAUCACAUCUGGACCUCCAGGGUCUACCAUCAUAGCUUAAUAGAGUAAGCAUUCAAUUAAUGUCUUUUGCAUAAAUGGUCUUCCAGGAUGUGACAUCCCCCCACACACAUGCACACAAGUAUACCUUUCAUGAUGUAUAAGUUUAUAAAAAGUAAGGCUCUGAGAAGAGAAAUCACAUGCCUCAGAACCACAGUAUAAAAUCCAGGUAUCCUACUUCUUCAAACUGAUGUUCUCCACAAUACUCUCCUACUCUAGCUGUUCACAAGUAUGUUCCAUGAAUUUUCUUAUCCUAGCUCUGCUAUAAAACAUCUCUCCACUUUUUUCGCAAUAGGUUCUACUUAAGAGAAACAAGUUAUAGAAAUUUUCUCCUGGUGGCAAAAUUCCCUGCAUCAAUAUUAUGGCAUCUUCAUCAACAUGUAUAAAUAUGUUGUACUAACAAUAUUAAUUAAUAUUGAAAACUGCAAGUAGAAUCAAUCUUUGGAAUCGUCCCUAAACUGAAAAAAUAAAAAGAGGAAAGGAAUUAACACUCAGUGAUGGAGAUUUUGGCCUCAAAGGACCCUUUUAUUUAUAAUAUUCAGGUUGAUACUCAGUACCCAAAGCUUUCUCUGGGGUAGGCAGCAAAGAAACAUUUCUUGUAAAUGGUGUAUUUUGUUUUCCUACUGAAAAUCCAUGAAGGAGUUUUUUUAAAUAUUUCAAAACAUCACAUUGCAAAUCUGUUAAGUUUCUUUUAAGAGAUUAUUUGAGAAUGCUGUUUAUAAUGUCAUUAUCACUGAUCAUCCUUUCAUGACUCAUUAAAUAGUUUCACAUCUGAAAUGAACUGAAGAUUUUUUUACUCAACCAUUCACACUGUCUAAAACCAGACAAGGUGAAAACACAGCAUCAUCUUCUAGAAGUCUCUGUGCCUCCAGGUUGAUCAGCUUCCCAGGUACUUCCGAAGUCCUACCAACAGUGGAAAGAGAAACUUCCCCUCUGUGCUACAUCCUGCAAACCUCCCCUCCUCAUACCAUAUGCUGCAAACCAUUCCUCUGACCAUAGCUUUCCAUUAUCUAUUUUUAUGACUCUUACAAAGAAAAUGGAAGUAAUAUUUUUAUGAUAAAGCCACUCCAGAAAUGCAUUUUUCGAACAGCUUACUGAUUUAUUUAAAUGAGUUCUCCACUGAUUUAUGUUUGAUAACGUAAAAACAGCCUUUAACUACUUUUCUUGUCACAGCUGUUGACUUUUUUCUUCCUUUGAUCUCAUAUGUAAGGAAAUGUUCAAAUAUAUUAGGCUUGUUCCCAAACUUACUAAUCAGAAUCUGCUAGAGUGACGGCAGGCAAUCUGGAUGUUUUAAAGGGCCUCCAAUAACUAUGGUGAUUAGCUAGGUUUAGGAACACUCCACCAAACUCAAGAAUAAAUUCAACACUGAAAUUAAUGUGAAACACUUAUGUACAUGUGUUAAUGUAUUUUUUUCCUGGAGAGAGGAUGCCCUUUCUAAAAUUUUCAAAAGCAUCUUUAAGAAUGAGACAGACCUAUGAUGAAAAUAACUCAUAUUCUGAAAGAUUUGGAAUAUUUUAGGAUCUCAAGUCUCUGGACUUGAGGUCAAAAUAGAAUCAUCUUUCCUAAAUUGUGUUCUCUGCUUAUUAAAAAGAAUCAGUGUUCCAGAGUACAUGGGUCUAAAGAGCCAUAAUAUAAUGAUUCCAACUCUAUGCCAAAAAGUACUUUGAAAUAUUCCUAUUAUCAUAUAUGCCUUCCUUUACUGAACAGCCCAACAAACUUCUCCGGUACCAUUUAUUCCUUUUGUAUCAGCAUUUGCAUUGGACUCUUCUGUAGUUACACUAGUCUCAUCAUUUACACUGGGUUACUGUGCAUAAACAGGCUGCUCACAUCUAAGGCACUGAGCAAAGGAUGCAAAUGCCUCUAUGCAUCAAUCCAGUCCUGCAACUACUCAUAGGGGGUGCCUUUUUCCUAAUUCAUAUAUGUACUAGUAGUGGUCCUGUCUUUUCCCACUCUUUUUUUCUUCCUACUGGAAGGAAUAGCAUAUGCAUAUCCAAAGAUAAGAAUUUGUCCAUAACCUGCCCCCUUUUAUCUGUAGCCUUGAUCUGAUCUGGGUCUUCUAAAGAAUAGAAGUGUUUAAGUCUAUCUAUGUAUUAACCACAACAAAGCAAAGUAAGAGCGAGAUGAUAAUGACAAUAAAAUCUCCUUACUUCAUAAUUAAUAGAUUUUAUAGUAUAUCUUGACUUUUAAUAAGUAACUUAAAUUGUCAUUUGAUUAUAUUCCCUCAUCUAUAAAAUUAAAUACUUCACUCACAGGGCAGUUGAGAGGAUCUAAAAAGAUAUGUAUGUGAAAAUAUUUUGCAAACUCCUACAAGUGUUAAAAGUAUAAAAUGGCAUUAAUAUUAUCAAUAUAAUUUCAAUUAAAUUUAAUAUUGGCAAAGUGAAUAAUGCUUAUGACUAUGAGAAUAUACUGAGAAUAAGUCUCAUCUCUGAUUUCAAAGAGGUUACAACUCAGUGAAGGACUGUAGGCAAUAUAUACAAAUCAUUUACCAUAGAUUAGAGUGGAAUACUAAAUUCCAAUUGAUUCAAGUGAAUAAUAAGAGCAAAAAUGUGAUCAUUCAAUAGACAUGGUUCAAAAAAGCUUGCAGAGGAUGCAGAAGUUAAGGCAUAUUUUAAAAGAUGGUUAUGAUUUGAGUAGAAGUAGUGGUUGGGAAAGCUUAAGAAAUGCUACUUUUAAUUAAUACUCCUUUUUUUCCAAUUCUUCCUCUAAGGAGGGCUCCAAAUAAAUAAACUUCUGAUCUUCCCAGGCAAAGUCCUUAGAAGCAUAGCAUAAUGGCACAAUCAAUAAUAGAUAGGUCAGGAUUAAUAAGAGAAAGGCAAUUAAGAGAAAGGAAAUGUCACAUUGCCUAGUGCACAAUCAUGUAAAAGUAUUGGUUGCCUUGUCAUUCCCACCUUGCUCAUUCAAAAUUUGGCCUAAAAAUAAUCAAGCUUGAUAAAAGAGAUGUUUCCAAAGUACAAUAAGUGCCUUUGGGCAUGGAGUAGAGGUUUUGUCUCCAAAUUUUAAGUCAUCUUUUAGGGAUCUCAGAACUUAGAAGGGCUCUCUCCAGGGAAAUACUUUGGAGAACAGGCUCCUUUUCCUGUUUGGUUUUCAGUGUAUGUCUCAGGUUGGGGCAUGUUUCUGAGGUCCAACUCUAAUGCUGUCUCUAAAAACAAAUCCAGGCUCUUUAUCAUCAGAGCCUAACACAAGUGAUUUUGGUCAAAAAUAAAAUGAUCAUUCAUUCAUAUAGACACAGAUUUUUACAAAUUAGAAAAAUUCCUAUAACCCAAAAAAUCCAGAUAACACAGGUUACAUUACAGUAUUUCCAUUUACCUCACAUUUUUAGGGACAUGUAAUGGAAUUUAUGGCAGGUGAACUUUUGAUUAAACAGUGGUUACUCAUCAAAGAAAAGCAGGAAGGGAGCAUAAGAACACCAUUAGUUCUUUUCAUCUUAGCUUUUCUCUGUCUCUUUCUGGUUAUUCUCC